UUUCCGGUUGAUCCUGCCGGACCUGACUGCUAUCGGAUUGAUACUAAGCCAUGCGAGUCAUUGUAGCAAUACAAGGCAGACGGCUCAGUAACGCGUAGUCAACCUACCCUAUGGACGGGGAUAACCUCGGGAAACUGAGAAUAAUACCCGAUAGAACAUUAUGCCUGGAAUGGUUUAUGUUUCAAAUAAUUUAUUGCCGUAGGAUGGGACUGCGGCCUAUCAGUUUGUUGGUGAGGUAAUGGCCCACCAAGACUAUUACAGGUACGGGCUCUGAGAGGAGUAGCCCGGAGAUGGGUACUGAGACACGGACCCAGGCCCUAUGGGGCGCAGCAGGCGAGAAAACUUUGCAAUGUGCGAAAGCACGACAAGGUUAAUCCGAGUGAUUUCUGCUAAAGGAAUCUUUUGUCAGUCCUAGAAACACUGUUGAAUAAGGGGUGGGCAAGUUCUGGUGUCAGCCGCCGCGGUAAAACCAGCACCUCAAGUGGUCAGGAUGAUUAUUGGGCCUAAAGCAUCCGUAGCCUGCUUUAUCAGUUUUCGGUUAAAUCCACACGCUCAACGUAUGGGCUGCCGGGAAUACUGUAAAGCUAGGGAGUGGGAGAGGUAGACGGUACUCGGGAGGAAGGGGUAAAAUCCUUUGAUCUCUCGAUGACCACCUGUGGCGAAGGCGGUCUACCAGAACACGUCCGACGGUGAGGGAUGAAAGCUGGGGGAGCAAACCGGAUUAGAUACCCGGGUAGUCCCAGCUGUAAACUAUGCAAACUCAGUGAUGCAUUGGCUUGAUGCCAAUGCAGUGUUGCAGGGAAGCCGUUAAGUUUGCCGCCUGGGAAGUACGUACGCAAGUAUGAAACUUAAAGGAAUUGGCGGGGGAGCACCACAAGGGGUGAAGCCUGCGGUUCAAUUGGAGUCAACGCCGGG
Molecule: ribosomal RNA, 915 nt
Filed under: uncultured marine group I thaumarchaeote
Lineage: Archaea; Thermoproteati; Nitrososphaerota
Description: bacterial SSU rRNA
Rfam family: Archaeal small subunit ribosomal RNA
Source: RNAcentral